RNAcentral lists this ribosomal RNA (323 nucleotides) under uncultured Prevotella sp. Its description in RNAcentral is "partial 16S ribosomal RNA". Lineage: Bacteria; Pseudomonadati; Bacteroidota; Bacteroidia; Bacteroidales; Prevotellaceae. The record is from RNAcentral.
GGAGUUUGGUCCGUGUCUCAGUACCAAUGUGGGGGACCUUCCUCUCAGAACCCCUACUGAUCGUUGCCUCGGUGGGCCGUUACCCCGCCGACAAGCUAAUCCUACGCAUCCCCAUCCCAAGGCGAUGAAUCUUUACUCCUCCUCAGAUGCCAUCAAAAGAGACCAUCAGGUAUUAAUCCGACUUUCGCCGGGCGUGUCCCUCGACCUCGGGGCGAGGUUGGAUACGCGUUACUCACCCGUGCGCCGGUCGCCAUCAAACUUAGCAAGCUAAGUUCAUGCUGCCCCUCGACUUGCAUGUGUUAAGCCUGUAGCUAGCGUUCAUC